GACGAACGCUGGCGGCGUGCCUAAUACAUGCAAGUAGAACGCUGAAGAGAGGAGCUUGCUCUUCUUGGAUGAGUUGCGAACGGGUGAGUAACGCGUAGGUAACCUGCCUUGUAGCGGGGGAUAACUAUUGGAAACGAUAGCUAAUACCGCAUAACAAUGGAUGACACAUGUCCUUUAUUUGAAAGGGGCAAUUGCUCCACUACAAGAUGGACCUGCGUUGUAUUAGCUAGUAGGUGAGGUAAUGGCUCACCUAGGCGACGAUACAUAGCCGACCUGAGAGGGUGAUCGGCCACACUGGGACUGAGACACGGCCCAGACUCCUACGGGAGGCAGCAGUAGGGAAUCUUCGGCAAUGGGGGCAACCCUGACCGAGCAACGCCGCGUGAGUGAAGAAGGGUUUCGGAUCGUAAAGCUCUGUUGUAAGUCAAGAACGGGUGUGAGAGUGGAAAGUUCACACUGUGACGGUAGCUUACCAGAAAGGGACGGCUAACUACGUG
Molecule: ribosomal RNA, 497 nt
Filed under: uncultured bacterium
Lineage: Bacteria
Description: partial 16S ribosomal RNA
Rfam family: Bacterial small subunit ribosomal RNA
Source: RNAcentral